Molecule: long non-coding RNA, 537 nt
Filed under: Danio rerio (zebrafish)
Lineage: Eukaryota; Metazoa; Chordata; Actinopteri; Cypriniformes; Danionidae
Description: si:ch211-108p6.6 (ENSDARG00000097243.2)
Source: RNAcentral
CUCCUACCUUGUGCCGUUGAAAGAUGGAGUCUUUCCUUUCUCUGUAAGAAUAAUCUGUGUAUGAAUGAGAAUGAAUGAUGAGCAGCAGGAUGAGGAUCAGCAGAGCUCUCCCACACAGCGCUCGGAGACAUUCUGUCCUGGACAAUUAUUUCUGAGUCCACUCCCUACAUCCGCGGGGCGACCGUGCUGGACGGGUUUUACCUCUGACCCCGGGGGGACGCAGUAGGAGGCUCAAUAAAGCUAGUCAUUGCUGCAUACAAAUCACACAAUGGAGAAUGGGAGACUUAAAUAUGGAGCAGAGAGAGAGGAAAUUGGAAACAUCGCUUUCAGCAUUAUGGGCAUAGUGAAGAUGAUCGCUGAAUGUGCAUAUAUAUUGCUGCUUAGGCUAAGAGGAAUAUCAUGGCUGCCAUAGAGAGGAGGAACCAUCACAGAGCAGACAUAUGUGCCCUCACUGUGCUUUCUGGUUGGUUCAAGUUUAAAGGAGGCGUUUCCGCCAGCGAUGGUCUUGACAGUCACUCCUUUGCCUUCACUUUUACC